Molecule: long non-coding RNA, 2993 nt
Organism: Suncus etruscus (white-toothed pygmy shrew)
Lineage: Eukaryota; Metazoa; Chordata; Mammalia; Eulipotyphla; Soricidae
Exons: 2
Source: RefSeq, a predicted model, not a curated record
GGGUGUGGCCCAAAGUACACACAAAAGAAUAUGGGUGUGACCACCUCAGGGCAAUAUGGGCUUAAUGAUGACCACUGGUGGCGUAUGAGUCUUCUACGAUGAAUGCGUGGGAGUCUGAGGCCCACUGAAAUGCAGCCGAAUCCAGUACUCUGUUGCAAUGAUCAGGAAUAUUAAUGAUGUCUUCUUCUUGUCAUUCGCUCUACGAUAUCUUUCUCAGCGCGGAUGACCUGGAGCUGAGGGGCCAUAUCUGGGCUCGAAGUUUGGGGAGUGACGCUCAUGUUGAUGUGAGUUCUCGAAGAAAGUUCUCUUCUCAACUUCUUUCAAAUGUGCAAAAUUAUCACUUAUGCUGCACCCGUAUUUUAGUAUGAAAUAUUAGUAUGUGUGAAGUAUUGACUAUGUGUAAAACUAUGGAAUAUAAAACAUACUUGAGAGUGCUUGAUAUUCAUAUGAAGUUUAUGUAGACCCUUCUUAGUUUUGGGAUGUAUUUUAGGAAUUAAAAUGGGUUUUGAGGUCAGAAAGAUAGUAGAGUGGGUAAGGCCUUGCAAACAGUUGACUUGAGUUCAAUUCUCAGGGACCCAUAUGGUCCCUGAGCUCUGCCAGGAGUGAUCCCAGGACACAGGAGCCUGGAUUAAACCUUGAGUAUCACUGGUGUAGCCUCAGAGCAAAACAAAAAAUAGAUAUUUUGUGACUUCAUAGCUUUAUCAAUGAGAUAUGGAUGUGGAGAUGAGGUAUAUUGGAUCAGUGAUGACUAUUGGUGGCGUAUGAGUCUUCUACGAUGAAUACGUGGUAAUCUGAGCUCCAAAGCCAACCAGAUCUGCUCCAUCCUCAUUGUUGAACAAAUUUCAGACAUAUCCAAGGCUUCCAUUAUGGCCUUAUUGUUUACCUAUUUUUAUUCUUUUAUUACAUUGACAAAAAUUCUAUAAAUAAUUAUAGAAGACAAUGCAGAUGAAUAUGAUGAAUUCUUGUCCAAUGGAGGCAAGAGGGAGCAGUAACAUGCUAUGAAUAUCCAGAUAUGAAAAAUAAAUGACCCAUAGACUAGACAGAUAUCACUAAGGGUUAGGGGGCAAGCUUUGCACAUAGGUGCCCCAAAUUCAAUUCCAUUUAUCACAAAAGCCCCUCUGCACUAUGAAGCAUAACCCUCCCUUCCCUGCACACCUUAAAAAUAAGUGAUUCAUGCCAAAUACUUGUUAGACCAAGGAUGGCACAGGCAUCAAAGCCAUAGACUAACCACAGAUUCUGGGCCAGUGGCCAACUCCAAGUUGCUUUCCCUGAGAGAAAUAAAGGCGUAUCUACAUCCAAUUAAUGAUAGCCUGGUCAAGUGGUGCUGUGAAAGGUGACAAGCAAAGAUCACCAGCAAACAGUGUUUCACCUUCUUUUCGUCAUUUCUCUGCUCUGCACUCCUCAGAACUGACACUCCACUUCUGGAAUCUUCCUUGAUCCCAAGCUCUGGGGUCACAUCUCAGUCAGGAGCCUGGAGAGAAAUGAUGGAGCUUCUGGUGCUGAUGGUGACCUUCCCCCAGGACAACCCACUUUGUGCAUGCACUAGUUCAUUAAUCAAGACCAGAUAGCACAGAAAAUGACUAUUUUUUCACUAUCUGAUAGCCAAGGACAUUAUGCUGACAAUCAAGAAAAAUACCAGCACAGUUACAGAAGGGCAGAAUCUCUUCUCUAUGGGAUUCUCUGAGAGCUGUGGAAUCUUCUUUUAUGGCUUUGAACUUAAUGUUGAUUUCCUAGUAAUCAAUAGAUAGUAAUCAAUAGGUAAUCAAUUCAUUUAAAAAAUGAAUGGAAAUCAAGAUCUCCAUUGACACUUCCUAGUAGCCUGUGUUAUAGCUGAUGAAGAAUUUGUGCCUGUAAUUCUGAAGUCCUGCGUCAAAUGUAUCUGAUCAAUGUGUCCAGGGAUACUGUAGAUUAAUACUGUAGAUAUUUGUAUGUGUCUCUUUGCCUUUGCAUUUAAUAUUUUAGUGAGGUUUUAAAUGGGCAAAAUAGAAGAAUAAGAUGAGGUGCGAAAUGACUACUGAUGAAGAAUACUCUGUAUUAUAUUAAAUAUAAUAAUCUGCAAGGUAACAAAAUAAUAACCACUGGAAUAGAUAAAAGAAUGGACCAAAUAUAUUGUCCAUUAGUAGUUUGAUGUUGAUAGUGAAAUGUAAUCAUUAUUCAUUGGUUGAGCCAGUUUCAGACUCCAACUUUGUUUCAUUAACUACAAAUAAUUAUAGGGAAGCAGAGAGAUAGUACAGCAGAGAUAGUACAACUUAUUUGUUUAGAAGGCAGCCAAUCUAGCGUAAAUCCCUGCUGCCCUAUAUGGUCCUCCAAGCACCCACCGGAGUGAUCCCUGAGCACCAGCAGGUGUAGUCCAAAAUCCAGAAAGAAAUAGAACUUAUAAAUGAGUCAAUGCCUAAUGGUUAUAAAUAACUGAUGGAAACUCCAAUUAAAUGGUGUGGCAUUCUCAAUCUCUUCACCACUUUCUCUCCAUGGACAGGCAAACUAAUAACACUUCUGGUCAUGAUUGUGAUGAUUGUUAGCUUUCAUGAUAGAAGAGAGACCAAAGUAAGAAAUGACUAAAUGUAUUUUUCUGUCUGGCUCUUUUAGUGAUAGGUAUUCAUAGUAGUAUUAUAUAUAUAUAAUCAAAUAUUAUAGAAUUACUCAUAAAAUCAAAUGGGCCGUUGUGCAAUAAUGAAUAUGAUAUAAUCUAUGUUGCUGGGUUGAUGGUUUGUAAUGUAGAGAGAAUGGAUUGUAUGAAUCUAUGCUGUAUAAAUCUUUGCUAGCAAUGACCAAUAGGUAGAAGUUCAGGUUAUUCAACACUAUUAUUCUUUUAGACUUUGUAAAGUAAAGCAUGUUUUUAUUGGGAGUUCCUCUAUGUACUCAUAUUAGUAAUAUUAAUGAAUAAAUAUUAGCACUCUAAAGAAAAUAUAAAGGAAAAAGUGUAAAGCAUUGUGCAACUCUGAACGUAUGUAGAGAGAAAAAGUAUAUCAUAAAUAAAAAAAUAAAACACUGAA